AUAAACAAGUCCCGUUCACGGAGGCGUCCUUGGUUGCAUGGUAAAUUGACUUCCGGUAGAUUUUUUUUUACUUUAUAAAGAAACCAUUCCCGAAGAUUUUUACCACCACUUUUACAGCGAAUCAUGAAUGGAAGCUGAAUUGUUAAAGAAGAAGUUACAGAGGAGCAUACUACAUCCAAAAACCUGAUUUGAUUGUCACUAACUUUCAAAUUGAAUGAUUUGAUUGUCACUAGCUUUCAAAUUGAAUGAUUUGAUUGUCACUAGCUUUCAAAUUGAAGGGGAUCUACUACAACUGCUCAUGAAUUUUGAGAUUGUACAGCAAAUAGAGGAACAAAUUUUAUCUGCUUCCACUUAGACAAACAGCAUGUAAAUGUGCUAUUGUAAUGAGUAGAAGAUCUUUAUCAUUUAGAAUAUCAUGUGUCAUUGACUUAUGAAAACAAAAUGCAACAGCAAAAUAUCAGUCCACACAUUUCAAGAUGAGGAAAAGAACAGUAUAAUCUACAUUCAUUGAUGCAUUAUUUAUACAAAAAUGUAUAGUCAACCCAGUCAUCACUCCAUUUUUUUAUGAAGCCAGUUACAGUUACAAUGAAGGGAUGAAAUUUCAGAUAAUAUUCUGUUUGUUUGAUGAAAUGAGAAUAGGCCUACAUCAGAAAUUGAAAUGGUCAUCUUCAGUAUUUAAUGUUUCAUCUAAAAAUGAUAAUUAUAUUAAUACAUAUUUGAUGUACAAACAAAUGAAAACCAUUCAAAUACUUUUUUUUGUGAAGUAUAGAUGAUUAAACUUGUAAGUGU
Molecule: long non-coding RNA, 789 nt
Organism: Biomphalaria glabrata
Lineage: Eukaryota; Metazoa; Mollusca; Gastropoda; Planorbidae
Exons: 3
Source: RefSeq, a predicted model, not a curated record